AGCAGUCGCCACGUAAUACGAAGGGUGCAAGCGUUAAUCGGAAUUACUGGGCGUAAAGCGUGCGUAGGCGGUGAGUUAAGUCUGCUGUGAAAUCCCCGGGCUCAACCUGGGAAUGGCAGUGGAUACUGGCUCGCUAGAGUGUGUCAGAGGAUGGUGGAAUUCCCGGUGUAGCGGUGAGAUGCGUAGAGAUCGGGAGGAACAUCAGUGGCGAAGGCGGCCAUCUGGGACAACACUGACGCUGAGGCACGAAAGCGUGGGGAGCAAACAGGAUUAGAUACCCGCGUAGUCCCUGUCUCUUAUACA
This 303-nucleotide ribosomal RNA is filed under the name uncultured bacterium. RNAcentral describes it as "partial 16S ribosomal RNA". It matches the Rfam family "Bacterial small subunit ribosomal RNA", at positions 510 to 808 of the family's 1533-position model. The record is from RNAcentral.